AGUCCGGACUCCGAAGAGUAGCGGUGCCGGGUAACGCCCGGGCGGGGUAACUCGACGGAUAGCGCCACAGAAACAAACCGCCAUGCCGCGGGGGCCUUCGGGCAACCGUAUCCGGUUUGGUAAGGGUGAAACGGUGGGGUAAGAGCCCACCGCGCCGCUGGCAACAGGGGUGGCAAGGCAAGCCCCACCGGGAGCAAUGCCAAAUAGGGUCCCCGUG
RNAcentral lists this ribozyme (217 nucleotides) under Schmidingerella taraikaensis. Its description in RNAcentral is "partial Bacterial RNase P class A". It matches the Rfam family "Bacterial RNase P class A", at positions 49 to 245 of the family's 367-position model. From Rfam's summary of the family: Ribonuclease P (RNase P) is a ubiquitous endoribonuclease, found in archaea, bacteria and eukarya as well as chloroplasts and mitochondria. Its best characterised activity is the generation of mature 5'-ends of tRNAs by cleaving the 5'-leader elements of precursor-tRNAs. Lineage: Eukaryota; Ciliophora; Spirotrichea; Tintinnida; Rhabdonellidae. The record is from RNAcentral.